This 649-nucleotide ribosomal RNA is filed under the name uncultured crenarchaeote. Its description in RNAcentral is "bacterial SSU rRNA". It matches the Rfam family "Archaeal small subunit ribosomal RNA", at positions 686 to 1334 of the family's 1478-position model. Lineage: Archaea; Thermoproteati; Thermoproteota. The record is from RNAcentral.
CGCGCCUGACGGUGAGGGACGAAAGCCAGGGGAGCGAACCGGAUUAGAUACCCGGGUAGUCCUGGCCGUAAACGAUGCAUACUAGGCAAUGGUGCGGCCAUGAGCCGCAUCAGUACCGUAGGGAAACCGUUAAGUGUGCCGCCUGGGAAGUACGGUCGCAAGGCUAAAACUUAAAGGAAUUGGCGGGGGAGCACCACAAGGGGUGAAGCCUGCGGUUCAAUUGGACUCAACGCCGGGAAACUUACCAGGGGAGACAGCAGAAUGACAGUCAGGUUGACGACCUUACUCGACGAGCUGAGAGGAGGUGCAUGGCUGUCGCCAGUUCGUGCUGUGAGGUAUCCUGUUAAGUCAGACAACGAACGAGAUCCGCGCCUUUAUUUGCCAUCAAGAAGUCACGACUUCGUUGGGAACACUAAAGGGACCGCCGUCGAUAAGACGGAGGAAGGAGCGGGCAAAGGCAGGUCAGUAUGCCCCGAAACCCCUGGGCUACACGCGGGCUGCAAUGGUGCGAACAAUGGGCUGUAACUCCGAAAGGAGAAACCAAUCCCGAAAUCGCAUCUCAGUGGGGAUUGUCGACUGUAACUCGUUGACAUGAACGUGGAAUCCCUAGUAAUCGCGUGUCACCAUCGCGCGGUGAUACGUCUCUGCU